CAACUUUCAGCAACGGAUCUCUUGGCUCUCGCAUCGAUGAAGAACGCAGCGAAAUGCGAUAAGUAAUGUGAAUUGCAGAAUUCAGUGAAUCAUCGAAUCUUUGAACGCACCUUGCGCUCCUUGGUAUUCCGGGGAGCAUGCCUGUUUGAGUGUCAUUA
Molecule: ribosomal RNA, 158 nt
Filed under: uncultured Cortinarius
Lineage: Eukaryota; Fungi; Basidiomycota; Agaricomycetes; Agaricales; Cortinariaceae
Description: 5.8S ribosomal RNA
Rfam family: 5.8S ribosomal RNA
About the family: 5.8S ribosomal RNA (5.8S rRNA) is a component of the large subunit of the eukaryotic ribosome. It is transcribed by RNA polymerase I as part of the 45S precursor that also contains 18S and 28S rRNA.
Source: RNAcentral